This 255-nucleotide ribosomal RNA is filed under the name uncultured Leptotrichia sp. Its description in RNAcentral is "partial 16S ribosomal RNA". It matches the Rfam family "Bacterial small subunit ribosomal RNA", at positions 99 to 355 of the family's 1533-position model. Lineage: Bacteria; Fusobacteriati; Fusobacteriota; Fusobacteriia; Fusobacteriales; Leptotrichiaceae. The record is from RNAcentral.
CGCACGGGUGAGUAACGCGUAAGAACUUGCCCUUUAGACUGGGAUAACAGAGGGAAACUUCUGAUAAUACUGGAUAAGUUAGUAUAUCGCAUGAUAUGCAAAUGAAAGCUACGGCACUAAAGGAGAGCUUUGCGUCCUAUUAGCUAGUUGGUAAGGUAAGAGCUUACCAAGGCGAUGAUAGGUAGCCGGCCUGAGAGGGUGGACGGCCACAAGGGGACUGAGAUACGGCCCUUACUCCUACGGGAGGCAGCAGCC